Molecule: transfer RNA, 71 nt
Filed under: Marmota monax (woodchuck)
Lineage: Eukaryota; Metazoa; Chordata; Mammalia; Rodentia; Sciuridae
Description: tRNA.Thr
Source: RNAcentral
GAGGCUGUGGCUCAGUGGUAAAGGGCUCUCCUGGUGUGUGUGAGGCACUGGGUUCGAUUCUCAGCACCACA